UACGAAGGGGGCUAGCGUUGCUCGGAAUCACUGGGCGUAAAGCGCACGUAGGCGGCUUUCUAAGUCAGGGGUGAAAUCCUGGAGCUCAACUCCAGAACUGCCUUUGAUACUGGAGAGCUUGGGUCCGGAAGAGGUGAGUGGAACUCCGAGUGUAGAGGUGAAAUUCGUAGAUAUUCGGAAGAACACCAGUGGCGAAGGCGGCUCACUGGUCCGGUACUGACGCUGAUGUGCGAAAGCGUGGGGAGCAAACAGG
RNAcentral lists this ribosomal RNA (253 nucleotides) under uncultured bacterium. RNAcentral describes it as "partial 16S ribosomal RNA". It matches the Rfam family "Bacterial small subunit ribosomal RNA", at positions 524 to 776 of the family's 1533-position model. The record is from RNAcentral.